This 2418-nucleotide ribosomal RNA is filed under the name human gut metagenome. Its description in RNAcentral is "bacterial LSU rRNA". It matches the Rfam family "Bacterial large subunit ribosomal RNA", at positions 1 to 2433 of the family's 2925-position model. The record is from RNAcentral.
AAGAAAGUAAGAAAGGGCGUAUGGCGGAUGCCUAGGCUCACGGAGGCGAUGAAGGACGUGAUAAGCUGCGAUAAGCUUCGGGUAGGUGCAAAUAACCUUUGAUCCGAAGAUUUCCGAAUGGGACAACCUAGCCGUCUGAAGGACGGUUACUCUUACCAAUGUAAGAGAGCUAACGCAGGGAACUGAAACAUCUUAGUACCUGCAGGAAGAGAAAAUAAAUGAAUGAUUCCCCCAGUAGUGGCGAGCGAACGGGGAACAGCCCAAACCAGUGGCGUCGCAAGGCGUGGCUGGGGUUGUAGGACCGCGACAUUGUAUGAAAUGGUGAGUGGAAGUAUCUGGAAAGUUACAUCACAGAAGGUGAUAAUCCUGUACACGAAGCCAAAUCAGCAUAGCGGUAUCCUGAGUAACGCGGGACACGAGGAAUCCUGCGCGAAUCUGCCGGGACCAUCCGGUAAGGCUAAAUACUCCCGUGAGACCGAUAGCGAACGAGUACUGUGAAGGAAAGGUGAAAAGAACCCCGAGCAGGGGAGUGAAAUAGUUCCUGAAACCAUACGCCUACAAGCGGUCGGAGCAUCGUAAGAUGUGACGGCGUGCCUUUUGCAUAAUGAUCCUACGAGUUACCGUCACUGGCGAGGUUGAGUGUCACGAGACACGUAGCCGCAGUGAAAGCGAGCCUGAAUAGGGCGCACAGUCAGUGGGGGUAGACGCGAAACCAAGUGAUCUACACUUGGCCAGGAUGAAGUCCCGGUAACACGGGAUGGAGGUCCGCACCAAUAAGCGUUGAAAAGCUUCUGGAUGAGCCGAGUGUAGGAGUGAAAGGCCAAUCAAACUUGGAGAUAGCUCGUACUCCCCGAAAGGCAUUUAGGUGCCGCGUCGGAUGGUCACCGUGAGAGGUAGAGCGACCGAUAGGACAAGAGGGCUUCACCGCCUAUCGAGUCCUGACGAACUCCGAAUGCUCACGGUCUGCAGUCCGGCAGUAAGGGGGCGGGUGCUAAGGUCCGUCCCCGAGAGGAGAAGAAUCCAGACCGCCGUCUAAGGUCCCGGAGUUCUGCCUGAGUUAGUCUAACGAAGUCUGGUCCCUAUGACAGCUAGGAUGUUGGCUUGGAAGCAGCCAUUCAUUCAAAGAGUGCGUAACAGCUCACUAGUCGAGGGUCCGGGCAUGGAUAAUAAUCGGGUAUAAGGCAGACACCGAAGGCGCGGGAUAGCAAUUAUAAAAGUAUCGGUAGGGGAGCAUACUCACAGCGUCGAAUGGUGUACGUAAGUUAUCCUGGAGCGGUGAGUAAAGCAAAUGUAGGAAUAAGUAACGAUAAGGAGGGUUAGAUUCCCUCCCGCUGUAAGACCAAGGUUUCCCGGGCAAUGCCAAUCAGCCCGGGGUCAGUCGGGUCCUAAGUCUAAGCCGAACGGCGAUGGCGAUGGCAGAGACGGUUAAUAUUCCGUCACUGCCGCAUGGGGCGACGUGGAGACGGAGCAGUGAAACCACCGCGGGGCGACGGAAGUCCCCGUUGAAGAGUGUAGGCGUUGAGGAUGGCAGGCAAAUCCACCAUCCGAGCUGAACUUGACAGUACGGAGUCCUCUUCGGAGGAAUCCAAUAGUGUGGGUAAUCAUACUCCCGAGAAAAUCCGCUAAGCUUAACCCAUGCGGCACCCGUACCGCAAACGGACACACGUGGUCGGGUAGAACAUACUAAGGCGUUGAGAGAUUCAUGGUUAAGGAACUAGGCAAAUUGACCCUGUAACUUCGGGAUAAAGGGUCCUCGUGAUGAGCGAGGCGCAGAGAAUAGGUCCAGGCAACUGUUUAACAAAAACACAGGGCUGUGCAAACUCGAAAGAUGACGUAUACAGCCUGACACCUGCCCGGUGCCGGAAGGUUAAGAGGAGAUGUCACCAGCAAUGAGGAAGCAUUGAAUUGAAGCCCCGGUAAACGGCGGCCGUAACUAUAACGGUCCUAAGGUAGCGAAAUUCCUUGUCGGGUAAGUUCCGACCUGCACGAAUGGUGUAAUGAUCCGGACGCUGUCUCAACCAUGAGCUCAGUGAAAUUGUAGUAUCGGUGAAGAUGCCGAUUACCCGCGAUGGGACGAAAAGACCCCGUGAACCUUUACUACAGCUUAGCAUUGACCUUGGUCAUCCGAUGUGUAGGAUAGGCCGGAGGCUUCGAAGCGGGAGCGCCAGCUUUCGUGGAGCCAUCCUUGAAAUACGGCCCUUUGGCUGUCUGAGGUCUAACGCGCGAUGCGCGGACACUGCUUGGUGGGUAGUUUGACUGGGGUGGUCGCCUCCAAAAGCGUAACGGAGGCUUCCAAAGGUGCCCUCGGGUCGAUUGGUAACCGACCUCAAAGAGUGCAAUGGCAUAAGGGCGCUUGACUGGGAGGCAGACAUGCCGAGCAGGCAGGAAACUGGGGCAUAGUGAUCCGGCGGAUGUGUA